GUCCACUGAACCUUAUCAUUUAGAGGAAGGAGAAGUCGUAACAAGGUUUCCGUAGGUGAACCUGCGGAAGGAUCAUUGCCGAGACCCGCAAGACAGACCCGCGAACACGUUCCGACCCGCACGGGAGGACGGCGAAGGGAGCGACCAACGUCGUCGCCGCCCCGCGCCGGACGCCCGCCCCGUCGACGCGCGCCCCGGCGCCCGUCGCGUGGCCCAACGAACCCCGGCGCGAGAAGCGUCAAGGAACACUCCGAACCUCGCACGCCCCCCGGAGCCCCGUGCGCGGCGCGCUCUCGGGGAUCGGCCGUGCGUCGAACACAGAACGACUCUCGGCAACGGAUAUCUUGGCUCUCGCAUCGAUGAAGAACGCAGCAAAAUGCGAUACUUGGUGUGAAUUGCAGAAUCCCGUGAACCAUCGAGUUUUUGAACGCGAGUUGCGCCCGAAGCCCCCGGGCCGAGGGCACGUCUGCCUGGGCGUCACGCACAGCGUCGCCCUCCACCUCCGCCCGUAACGGGGCCGCUGGUGUUGGGCCGGACACUGGCCUCCCGGGCGCGUCCGCGCGCGGUUGGCCCAAAUGCGACUCGGCGUCGGCGCGCGCCGCGACGAUUGGUGGUCGAAGACCUCGACUCGCGCGUCGUCGCGCAGGAUCGCGCCGUCCGUCGGGACGUGUCGACCCCGAAGGUGCCGCCGCGCACCUCGACGGCGACCCCAGGUCAGGCGGGAUCACCCGCUGAGUUUAAGCAUAUCAAUAAGCGGAGGA
RNAcentral lists this small RNA (761 nucleotides) under Haenianthus salicifolius. RNAcentral describes it as "eukaryotic LSU rRNA". The stretch from base 325 to 480 matches the Rfam family "5.8S ribosomal RNA". Lineage: Eukaryota; Viridiplantae; Streptophyta; Magnoliopsida; Lamiales; Oleaceae. The record is from RNAcentral.